GAUGAACGCUGGCGGCGUGCUUAACACAUGCAAGUCGAACGGAGUACCCUUGAAGGAGUUUUUGGACAACUGAAAGGACUACUUAGUGGCGGACGGGUGAGUAACGCGUGAGUAACCUGCCUUGGAGUGGGGAAUAACAGCUGGAAACAGCUGCUAAUACCGCAUGAUGCAGUUGGGUCGCAUGGCUCUGACUGCCAAAGAUUUAUCGCUCUGAGAUGGACUCGCGUCUGAUUAGCUGGUUGGCGGGGUAACGGCCCACCAAGGCGACGAUCAGUAGCCGGACUGAGAGGUUGGCCGGCCACAUUGGGACUGAGACACGGCCCAG
RNAcentral lists this ribosomal RNA (325 nucleotides) under uncultured bacterium. RNAcentral describes it as "bacterial SSU rRNA". It matches the Rfam family "Bacterial small subunit ribosomal RNA", at positions 28 to 334 of the family's 1533-position model. The record is from RNAcentral.